AGAGUUUGAUCCUGGCUCAGGAUGAACGCUAGCGGCAGGCUUAAUACAUGCAAGUCGAGGGGCAACAGGGGUAGCAAUACCUGCUGGCGACCGGCAAACGGGUGCGGAACACGUACAGAACCUUCCUUUAAGUGGGGGAUAGCCCGGAGAAAUCCGGAUUAAUACCCCGUAACAUUAUUGAUGUGGCAUCACAUUAUAAUUAUAGAUUUAUCGCUUAGAGAUGGCUGUGCGGCUGAUUAGGUAGUUGGUGUAGGUAAAGGCUCACCAAGCCAACGAUCAGUAACUGGUGUGAGAGCACGACCAGUCACACGGGCACUGAGACACGGGCCCGACUCCUACGGGAGGCAGCAGUAAGGAAUAUUGGUCAAUGGACGCAAGUCUGAACCAGCCAUGCCGCGUGAAGGAUGAAGGCCCUCUGGGUUGUAAACUUCUUUUAUGUGGGAAGAAAUGCAUUUAAUCUUAAAUGUUUGACGGUACCAUAGGAAUAAGCACCGGCUAACUCCGUGCCAGCAGCCGCGGUAAUACGGAGGGUGCAAGCGUUAUCCGGAUUCACUGGGUUUAAAGGGUGCGUAGGUGGGCUUGUAAGUCAGUGGUGAAAUCUCCGUGCUUAACAUGGAAACUGCCAUUGAUACUAUAGGUCUUGAAUUAUCUGGAGGUCAGCGGAAUAUGUCAUGUAGCGGUGAAAUGCUUAGAUAUGACAUAGAACACCAAUUGCGAAGGCAGCUGGCUACAGGUAUAUUGACACUGAGGCACGAAAGCGUGGGGAUCAAACAGGAUUAGAUACCCUAGUAGUCC
RNAcentral lists this ribosomal RNA (795 nucleotides) under uncultured bacterium. RNAcentral describes it as "bacterial SSU rRNA". It matches the Rfam family "Bacterial small subunit ribosomal RNA", at positions 8 to 796 of the family's 1533-position model. The record is from RNAcentral.